UGAAGGUCUUGCGCGAGCAAGCUAAGAGGGAACGCUGAAGAGCAUAUAAGGUUCAGGCAGCGGCUGCCCCCGCAACUGUGAACGGUGAAUGACCGCAAGUAUACCACUGGCUCUCUAUUGGGGCUGGGAAGGUGCGGUUUCAUGACGAUCUGUGAGCCAGGAGACCUGCCUUCAUCUC
RNAcentral lists this non-coding RNA (178 nucleotides) under uncultured Neokomagataea sp. Lineage: Bacteria; Pseudomonadati; Pseudomonadota; Alphaproteobacteria; Acetobacterales; Acetobacteraceae. The record is from RNAcentral.